AACCUGGUUGAUCCUGCCAGUAGCCAUAUGCUUGUCUGAAACAUUAAGCCAUGCGUGUUUCAGUAUAAGCUUUUACAUGGCGAAACUGCGAAUUGUUCAUUAAAGCAGUUAUCGUUUAUCUGAAGGUCAGUCAUUACAUGGAUAACCGUCGUAAUUCUAGAAGUAAUGCAUGCGCCCAGGUCCGACUUCGUGGACGGGUUGCGUUUAAUACGUACUGAACCAACCCGGGCUCUGCCUGGUCUUUUAGGUGAUUCAUGAUAACCGAACGAGAUCGCGUAGCAACCAUUGGCGCUAAGGAAGGCAGCAGGCGCGCAAAUUACCCAAUCCUAACACACAGAGGUAGUGACAAGAAAUAACAAUACAGGGCAUCCAUGUCUUGUACCUUGAAAAUGAGUAGAAUUGAAAUCCCUCUAUGAGUAUCUAUUGGAAGGCAAGUCUGGUGCCAGCAGCCGCGGUACAACAGCGCGUAUCA
RNAcentral lists this ribosomal RNA (472 nucleotides) under uncultured marine eukaryote. RNAcentral describes it as "bacterial SSU rRNA". It matches the Rfam family "Eukaryotic small subunit ribosomal RNA", at positions 1 to 596 of the family's 1831-position model. The record is from RNAcentral.